This 585-nucleotide ribosomal RNA is filed under the name uncultured Pseudomonas sp. Its description in RNAcentral is "bacterial SSU rRNA". It matches the Rfam family "Bacterial small subunit ribosomal RNA", at positions 102 to 683 of the family's 1533-position model. Lineage: Bacteria; Pseudomonadati; Pseudomonadota; Gammaproteobacteria; Pseudomonadales; Pseudomonadaceae. The record is from RNAcentral.
ACGGGUGAGUAAUGCCUAGGAAUCUGCCUGGUAGUGGGGGAUAACGUUCGGAAACGGACGCUAAUACCGCAUACGUCCUACGGGAGAAAGCAGGGGACCUUCGGGCCUUGCGCUAUCAGAUGAGCCUAGGUCGGAUUAGCUAGUUGGUGAGGUAAUGGCUCACCAAGGCGACGAUCCGUAACUGGUCUGAGAGGAUGAUCAGUCACACUGGAACUGAGACACGGUCCAGACUCCUACGGGAGGCAGCAGUGGGGAAUAUUGGACAAUGGGCGAAAGCCUGAUCCAGCCAUGCCGCGUGUGUGAAGAAGGUCUUCGGAUUGUAAAGCACUUUAAGUUGGGAGGAAGGGCAGUUACCUAAUACGUAAUUGUUUUGACGUUACCGACAGAAUAAGCACCGGCUAACUCUGUGCCAGCAGCCGCGGUAAUACAGAGGGUGCAAGCGUUAAUCGGAAUUACUGGGCGUAAAGCGCGCGUAGGUGGUUUGUUAAGUUGGAUGUGAAAUCCCCGGGCUCAACCUGGGAACUGCAUUCAAAACUGACUGACUAGAGUAUGGUAGAGGGUGGUGGAAUUUCCUGUGUAGCGGUG